GACGAACGCUGGCGGCGUGCCUAAUACAUGCAAGUCGAGCGAAGUUUUUCUGGUGCUUGCACCGGAAAAACUUAGCGGCGAACGGGUGAGUAACACGUAAAGAACCUGCCUCAUAGACUGGGACAACUAUUGGAAACGAUAGCUAAUACCGGAUAACAGCAUUAACUGCAUGGUUGAUGUUUAAAAGUUGGUUUUGCUAACACUAUGAGAUGGCUUUGCGAUGCAUUAGCUAGUUGGUGGGGUAAAGGCCUACCAAGGCGACGAUGCAUAGCCGACCUGAGAGGGUGAUCGGCCACACUGGGACUGAGACACGGCCCAGACUCCUACGGGAGGCAGCAGUAGGGAAUCUUCCGCAAUGGGCGAAAGCCUGACGGAGCAACGCCGCGUGAGUGAAGAAGGAUUUCGGUUCGUAAAGCUCUGUUGUUAGGGAAGAAUGAUUGUGUAGUAACUAUACACAGUAGAGACGGUACCUAACCAGAAAGCCACGGCUAACUACGUG
RNAcentral lists this ribosomal RNA (499 nucleotides) under uncultured bacterium. RNAcentral describes it as "partial 16S ribosomal RNA". It matches the Rfam family "Bacterial small subunit ribosomal RNA", at positions 28 to 507 of the family's 1533-position model. The record is from RNAcentral.